RNAcentral lists this small RNA (123 nucleotides) under Prorocentrum minimum. RNAcentral's name for it is "partial transfer-messenger RNA". Lineage: Eukaryota; Dinophyceae; Prorocentrales; Prorocentraceae. The record is from RNAcentral.
CCAUCUCUUAAAUCAAUUUUUUAUUAAAAACAAACGUAAAAGAAAAGGAAACAAACGUUUGUUUAAUAAUAAAUUGAUUGAUCAAGAGAUGGAUUCGUUCAUUUUCAUUUUUAUUUUCAUCCU